GCGAGAUCAGCCAUGGUGUCGUCCCUCGCUUUCUCUACUUGCCCAAGUAGCUUCUCGCGGUCAAUCGACCUCUGCUCCAGCUUUUGCACCCUGGCGGCGUCAGCUUGAAUGUGAGCCUCCAGGUCGCUCGCCUUGGUGCGCAGAGGCACGAUCUUGCUUUCUAGUUCAACUUUUUCUUGGGCAAGUUCAUGGACUUUGC
RNAcentral lists this long non-coding RNA (199 nucleotides) under Phaseolus vulgaris (common bean). RNAcentral's name for it is "long non-coding RNA (PVUL_LNC003969)". Lineage: Eukaryota; Viridiplantae; Streptophyta; Magnoliopsida; Fabales; Fabaceae. The record is from RNAcentral.